GGCUCAGGAUGAACGCUGGCGGUCUGCUUAACACAUGCAAGUCGAACGGAAUCCUUCGGGAUUUAGUGGCGGACGGGUGAGUAACACGUAAGAACCUGCCUCUAGGACGGGGACAACAGUUGGAAACGACUGCUAAACCCGGAUGAGCCGAAAGGUAAAAGAUUAAUCGCCUAGAGAGGGGCUUGCGUCUGAUUAGCUAGUUGGUGAGGUAAGAGCCCACCAAGGCGACGAUCAGUAGCUGGUCUGAGAGGAUGAUCAGCCACACUGGGACUGAGACACGGCCCAGACUCCUACGGGAGGCAGCAGUGGGGAAUUUUCCGCAAUGGGCGAAAGCCUGACGGAGCAAGACCGCGUGGGGGAGGAAGGUUCUUGGAUUGUCAACCCCUUUUCUCAGGGAAGAACACAAUGACGGUACCUGAGGAAAAAGCAUCGGCUAACUCCGUGCCAGCAGCCGCGGUAAUACGGGGGAUGCAAGCGUUAUCCGGAAUGAUUGGGCGUAAAGAGUCCGUAGGUAGUCAUCCAAGUCUGCUGUUAAAGAGCGAGGCUUAACCUCGUAAAGGCAGUGGAAACUGGAAGACUAGAGUGUAGUAGGGGCAGAGGGAAUUCCUGGUGUAGCGGUGAAAUGCGUAGAGAUCAGGAAGAACACCGGUGGCGAAGGCGCUCUGCUGGGCUAUAACUGACACUGAGGGACGAAAGCUAGGGGAGCGAAUGGGAUUAGAUACCCCAGUAGUCCUAGCGGUAAACGAUGGAAACUAGGUGUGGCCUGUAUCGACCCGAG
This 778-nucleotide ribosomal RNA is filed under the name Planktothrix rubescens TURKEYBLM5. RNAcentral describes it as "bacterial SSU rRNA". It matches the Rfam family "Bacterial small subunit ribosomal RNA", at positions 21 to 840 of the family's 1533-position model. Lineage: Bacteria; Bacillati; Cyanobacteriota; Cyanophyceae; Oscillatoriales; Microcoleaceae. The record is from RNAcentral.